Molecule: non-coding RNA, 959 nt
Filed under: Mustela nivalis (least weasel)
Lineage: Eukaryota; Metazoa; Chordata; Mammalia; Carnivora; Mustelidae
Description: 12S ribosomal RNA
Rfam family: Bacterial small subunit ribosomal RNA
Source: RNAcentral
CAAAGGUUUGGUCCUGGCCUUCCUAUUGAUUAUUAACAGAAUUACACAUGCAAGUCUCUACAUCCCGGUGAAAAUGCCCUCUAAAUCUACUUAUCGAUUAAAAGGAGCGGGUAUCAAGCACACUAAUUAGUAGCUCAUAACGCCUUGCUCGACCACACCCCCACGGGAUACAGCAGUGAUAAAAAUUAAGCCAUGAACGAAAGUUUGACUAAGCCAUGUUAACACAGAGAGCUGGUAAAUUUCGUGCCAGCCACCGCGGUCAUACGAUUAGCCCGAACCAAUAGGCAAACGGCGUAAAACGUGUUAAGGACUAUAUUAUACUAAAGUUAAAAUUUAGCAAGGCCGUAAAAAGCUACUGCUAAUACAAGAUAAACCACGAAAGUGACUUUAUUACCUCCAACGACACGAUAGCUGAGACCCAAACUGGGAUUAGAUACCCCACUAUGCUCAGCCCUAAACAUAAAUAAUUCUCACAACAAAAUUAUUUGCCAGAGAACUACUAGCAAUAGCUUAAAACUCAAAGGACUUGGCGGUGCUUUACAUCCCUCUAGAGGAGCCUGUUCUAUAAUCGAUAAACCCCGAUAAACCUCACCACUUCUAGCUAAAUCAGUCUAUAUACCGCCAUCUUCAGCAAACCCUUAAAAGGAAGAAAAGUAAGCACAAUAAUAAUACAUAAAAAAGUUAGGUCAAGGUGUAACCCAUGAAGUGGGAAGAAAUGGGCUACAUUUUCUAAUCAAGAACACACUCACGAAAGUUUUUAUGAAAAUUAAAAACUCAAGGCGGAUUUAGUAGUAAAUUAAGAAUAGAGAGCUUAAUUGAAUAGGGCCAUGAAGCACGCACACACCGCCCGUCACCCUCCUCAAGCAAUACACCCAAACACUACAUAAUAAAACUCACUCAAAGCAAGAGGAGACAAGUCGUAACAAGGUAAGCAUACUGGAAAGUGUGCUUGGGUAAAU